This 615-nucleotide ribosomal RNA is filed under the name uncultured bacterium. RNAcentral describes it as "bacterial SSU rRNA". It matches the Rfam family "Bacterial small subunit ribosomal RNA", at positions 43 to 703 of the family's 1533-position model. The record is from RNAcentral.
UAUGCUUAACAUGCAAGUCAAACGAAAUUUGUUUUCGUGGCGAACGGGUGAGUAAAUGCAGAAUUUUUCCUUCUAGUUCAGCACAAAAAUUCUUUGUGAAUCCAAAUUCUGAAUAUUUAAAAGGUUUGUUUGAAACAUUCCGCUAGAAGAUAAAUCUGUUAAAGAUUAGGUUGUUGGUAAUUUGAUAGCUUACCAAGCCCUUGAUCUUUAGUUGGUCUUAGAGGAUGGCCAACCACACUGGAACUGAAAUAAGGUCCAGGCUGACUUGUCGGCCAGCAGUGAGGAAUAUUGGACAAUGAACGAAAGUUUGAUCCAGCAAUACUAACUGGGUGAUGACGGCUUGUUUAAGUUGUAAGAUCCUUUAAUUAAAGAAGAUAAUGACAUUAUUUAGUCGAACUAGUCCUGGCUAAUACUCGUGCCAGCAGCCGCGGUAAUACGGGAAGGGCAAGCGUUAUCCGGCAUGACUGGGCGUAAAGAGUCCGUAAACUGUAAAGUAAGUUUUUUGUCAAAUUUUAAAGCACAACUUUAAAACAGCAAUUAAUACUACUUUACUUCGAGUUUAAUACAGAAAAGUAGAAUUUUGUACGAAGGGGUGAAAUCUGUAGAUAUAUAAAG